Molecule: ribosomal RNA, 236 nt
Filed under: uncultured bacterium
Lineage: Bacteria
Description: partial 16S ribosomal RNA
Rfam family: Bacterial small subunit ribosomal RNA
Source: RNAcentral
CCGGCGCACGGGUGAGUAACGCGUAUCCAACCUGCCUUACACUCUUGGACAGCCUUCUGAAGGAGAUAAUACAAGAUGUUAUCAUGAGUAAGCAUUUUCACAUGAUUAAAGGUUUACCGGUGUAAGAUGGGGAUGCGUUCCAUUAGAUAGUAGGCGGGGUAACGGCCCACCUAGUCUUCGAUGGAUAGGGGUUCUGAGAGGAAGGUCCCCCACAUUGGAACUGAGACACGGUCCAA